GAUGAACGCUAGCGGCAGGCCCAAUACAUGCAAGUCGAACGGGAUUGCGGUGUAGCUUGCUACACUGCAUGAGAGUGGCGCACGGGUGCGUAACGCGUGAGCAACCUGCCCAUAUCAGGGGGAUAGCCCGGAGAAAUCCGGAUUAACACCGCAUGUUACAGUAUUACCGCAUGGUAUAGCUGUUAAAUAUUUAUAGGAUAUGGAUGGGCUCGCGUGACAUUAGCUAGUUGGUGGGGUAACGGCCCACCAAGGCGACGAUGUCUAGGGGCUCUGAGAGGAGAAUCCCCCACACUGGUACUGAGACACGGAUCAGACUCCUACGGGAGGCAGCAGUAAGGAAUAUUGGUCAAUGGGCGGAAGCCUGAACCAGCCAUGCCGCGUGCAGGACGACUGCCCUAUGGGUUGUAAACUGCUUUUGUACGGGAAUAACCCUCUCUACGAGUAGAGAGCUGAACGUACCGUAAGAAUAAGGAUCGGCUAACUCCGUGCCAGCAGCCGCAGUAA
RNAcentral lists this ribosomal RNA (504 nucleotides) under uncultured bacterium. Its description in RNAcentral is "partial 16S ribosomal RNA". It matches the Rfam family "Bacterial small subunit ribosomal RNA", at positions 28 to 523 of the family's 1533-position model. The record is from RNAcentral.